This 428-nucleotide ribosomal RNA is filed under the name uncultured soil bacterium. RNAcentral's name for it is "bacterial SSU rRNA". It matches the Rfam family "Bacterial small subunit ribosomal RNA", at positions 26 to 429 of the family's 1533-position model. The record is from RNAcentral.
AGGACGAACGCUGGCGGCGUGCCUAAUACAUGCAAGUCGAGCGGAACCAGAGGAGCUUGCUCCUUUUGGUUUAGCGGCGGACGGGUGAGUAACACGUGGGCAACCUGCCCUGCAGAUCGGGAUAACUCCGGGAAACCGGUGCUAAUACCGAAUAGUUUCUGGUUCCUCCUGGAACCGGACGGAAAGACGGUUUCGGCUGUCACUGCAGGAUGGGCCCGCGGCGCAUUAGCUAGUUGGUGGGGUAAUGGCUCGACCAAGGCGACGAUGCGUAGCCGACCUGAGAGGGUGAUCGGCCACACGUGGGACUGAGACACGGCCCAAGUACUCCGUACGGGGAGCAGCAAGGUAGGGAAUCGUCGACAAGUGGACGCAAGUCUGGACGGAGACGAACGCCGCGUGAGGUGACGGUAAGGUUUCGGAUACGUAAA